Molecule: long non-coding RNA, 3183 nt
Organism: Cavia porcellus (domestic guinea pig)
Lineage: Eukaryota; Metazoa; Chordata; Mammalia; Rodentia; Caviidae
Exons: 4
Source: RefSeq, a predicted model, not a curated record
GCAGAUCUACAGAGAGGAGUCCAGUGGUCAGGCACAGAGGGCUGCACAGGUGGCAUCCAGCUCCCAUGAUCCCCUGUGUACCAUGAGCAGAGACAGAACCAGGAUAAUGGUGCUGCGCAGGUAGGAGUGCUGGUGCCGCCGGAGCUUGUAGUCGGGGCAAUUAAUGAGCUCGAGUGCCAUUUCCUCCUAGAGAGGUCACAUGGACACAUGCCUCAGACAUGAAAACAAUGCAUGCUUUGGGCACAGGGACACUAUUCAGAUAGAGACACACACCUCAUGCGGACAUUCAGACACGAGACUCAUGCCUCAGACAUGGGGACAUGUGAUUCUGACACACAGACAUGUCCCCUUGGACAUGGGGAAGUAUUCCUUCAGAAAUGGGGAGAUGUCCCUCAGACACAGGACACUGAGAGCUGACAACCCUGGCCAAUAGCUCUACCUCACCUGGUCCUCGUCCCACCCAUACAGGUCCCAGUGCAGGACAACUCGGGCUCGCUGCCGCUUCCAGAUCUCCAGAAACACAGUGGCUACAGUGAAAUGUGGAGGUGUCAUGGCAAGAGAAGGUGACUUGGAGCUCAGGCCACCAUCCCACAGCUCUGGGGGACCUGCAGCAACUCACCCCACAGAGCCAUGAAGAUGGCAAACAGCACAGUGCCCUCGUUGUCAAAGAAGCACAGGUGGUCUUUUGGGAGCACUGUUACCUGAUAGCAUCAAUUGGCUGCUCCUGGAACAUGUUUCUCCACUGGGCCCACUUCAUCUUCAGGUCUUCCUCUCCCUGGGUAGGUGACAGAUGGUGAGCACUUCCUGCUUAGGGUCCAGUCCUCAGCCCCCUUCUGGCUGCUUAUCUCUCACCCUGUGUAGGGGGAACUUGUCCUCAAAGACCCCAUCUUUCACCAAGUCCUCGAAGGUGUCUAGGGGUCAUGAGAGUUCAUGUCAGAGGGCAGUGUAGGGCAAGGGUUGUGUGGGUCGGCACCCUCCAGCCACCUGCCCAUUUGUUCUCACCACCGGAUGCUGUCUUGCUGUUUAGGAUGAAGUUCACAAUUCGGAUUCUGAAACCCAAGAGCAAGGUUAGGACAGCCCUGUGAGACCUCAGUGGGCCCAAGUCAGCUGGGAUCUUUCCCGACUCUCCCAUCCUUCCCCUCACUUGCGCAGCCCUAGCCAUGGCCUCCAGGGUGACGGCUGCCAAGGUCUCCUGUCCUCCCUGCACCCCUGUGUGCAGCCCUCCCUUUGGCCUGGCCGAGAGCGCCCUCUAACUGUGCUCCCACCAGUACUGCACAUGUGCCCAGCACACUCUGCAGCCCUCUAGAGCUAUCUUGCCUAUGUGGAGAUGAAGGCCUCAGAGUCCAGCAGGGACAGCUGGGUCUAGGACUCUCCAACCCUGCCCACCUUUUUCAGCUGGCUUGGGUCCUGUGCCCUGGGGGAUACAGAAUGCUCCAAGCAAAGAGGACUGUCCUUAUCACUUAUCAAGGAAUAAGGCCCUACUCACACGAGGUGCUGGCUGUUCUGUUGUGAAUAGCUCAUGAGGCCUCCUGCUCUGCUUUGACUGAAUGGGUUGGGCAGAGCUUCUCACCUCGUGGUAGUUGGUGUUGCUGGCUCCACGCCCGAGGCAGGAACCUCUGGCUCCAUGAGGAGGGUGCGGUACAAGUCAAAGAUCCUGUUGUCAGCUCGGAUCCCAAAGAACACACGUUUCUGGUCCUCUCUCACCUGGAGUUGGGGCCACAUGUCUUCUACUAGAAACAUCCCCUCUCCACACCCUGACCUAGCCCUGCCCCCUGCCAGGUAUCACCACCUUGACAUGGAAGCCUUUGCUCUUGAGCUCCUCCAGGAACUGCUUCUGGCGCUCAACCUGCUUGAAUCUCAACUCUGUGUGGUACUUGGCCACAAGAAUGAAGUCCCACUGCUCAGAGGGCUCUGCCUGGAAAGGGAGCGUGGGUGGGCCAGGCAGAGACCCAGAAGGAGAGGGAUGGAGGACAGGGCCAGGCCAUGGGCAGGGAGUUUGUGAGACAAGGCAAGGACCGAGGCAGGUGGGCUUGGGACAGGGAUGGGCAGGGACCUUGGGAGGAACGAGUAUGGACUGAGGAGUGGAAGAGGGUUGGACCAUGCCCCAGGAAGGCCAUGAAGACCCACCUCACAAGUUCCAAUCUCCAUCAGCGGGAAGCUCUCCCCUUCUGUCCCCACCAGGACCUGGAAGCUCUCUUCAUCCUAAAGGGCAGACAAAGGGGUAGAAGAUGGGAAGGUAGGUAAGCCCCUGUUAUGGUUUAUGUCUGUGGCCCCCAGGCCUCAUGAGUUUGCAUUGUUCAUUUGUGAUGGUCCAUUGCAUAGUGCUUAGAUUGAUGGUGUCAGUGCUCCACCCACAUAGGGGUGGAGCCAGGAUGUGAUGUAAUGGCAGGAAGAAGGUGUGUCUUGCUCUUUGCUGGUUCCAGCUUGCUGUUUGCAGCCACCAUGAACUGUGGCCCAGCCAUGCCCGCCUGCCUUGGAGCCAACUGAAUGUGGACUGAAACCUCCAAAAACUGUGUGGACACCUCGCACCCAAAGCUGAGAGGAGAGUCAGAAAUAAGUCAGCAAAUGAGUAAGUCCACAUGGAGGCAAGGCCAAGGAUGGCCAGGAGCAGAUGAUGGCCACCCUCAUAACCAACCAGUCCACAUGCUGGAGAAGAAGCUGGCUAUCAGGACAGACAGCCUCUUUCUGCAAUGGGUGGAGGUGCAGCCAAGUUUCACAGAAGGGGAGCUGAUGCCCAGGAUGGCCUUAAACUCAGAUCCUUCUGCAUCAACCUUCCAAAUGCUGGGAUUGCACAAGGUAAAGUUUACAGGGAUAUUCAACUAUACCCAGAAGUCUCCAUUGUCCUAAACCUGUAGUCACCUUGGAUUCCAAAAUAGCCCCGCAGGACUGAGACUCCCCAAAUGGAAACAGUCAUGUCAUGGAAACAGAACACACCACCACCACCCCAGCAAGAGAUUUUUCUGGAGUUAGGAAACCAGGAAUGAGAUCAUGAUCGACCCGACCCCAGUCUUUCACCACAGCUCCUUCCCUAUUUUCUUUUACUUUCUUUGUUAGGGCACCAUGUUCUUGUUUUGGCAGCACAUGUACUGUGUUCCGGGCCGGCUUGAUCUUUGUCUGAGCUGUGCUGUACUCCCUUCGUUUUCUCUUAUUUUCCAAUUAAACCUAUUUUUCCUUGUAAAUUCU